This 497-nucleotide ribosomal RNA is filed under the name uncultured bacterium. RNAcentral's name for it is "partial 16S ribosomal RNA". It matches the Rfam family "Bacterial small subunit ribosomal RNA", at positions 30 to 523 of the family's 1533-position model. The record is from RNAcentral.
AUUGAACGCUGGCGGCAUGCCUUACACAUGCAAGUCGAACGGUAACAGGUCUUCGGAUGCUGACGAGUGGCGAACGGGUGAGUAAUGCAUCGGAACGUGCCCAGUAGUGGGGGAUAGCCCGGCGAAAGCCGGAUUACUACCGCAUACGACCUGAGGGUGAAAGGGGGGAAUCGCAAGACCUCUCGCUAUUGGAGCGGCCGAUGUCAGAUUAGCUAGUUGGUGGGGUAAAGGCCUACCAAGGCAACGAUCUGUAGUUGGUCUGAGAGGACGACCAGCCACACUGGGACUGAGACAGGGCCCAGACUCCUACGGGAGGCAGCAGUGGGGAAUUUUGGACAAUGGGCGCAAGCCUGAUCCAGCAAUGCCGCGUGCAGGAAGAAGGCCUUCGGGUUGUAAACUGCUUUUGUCAGGGAAGAAUCUUCUGGGUUAAUACCUCGGGAGGAUGACGGUACCUGAAGAAUAAGCACCGGCUAACUACGUGCCAGCCGCCGCAGUAA